This 234-nucleotide ribosomal RNA is filed under the name uncultured Atopobium sp. Its description in RNAcentral is "partial 16S ribosomal RNA". It matches the Rfam family "Bacterial small subunit ribosomal RNA", at positions 122 to 356 of the family's 1533-position model. Lineage: Bacteria; Bacillati; Actinomycetota; Coriobacteriia; Coriobacteriales; Atopobiaceae. The record is from RNAcentral.
CAACCUGCCCUUUGCACUGGGAUAGCCUCGGGAAACCGAGGUUAAUACCGGAUACUCCAUAUUUGUCGCAUGGCUAAUAUGGGAAAGCUCCGGCGGCAAAGGAUGGGCCCGCGGCCUGUUAGCUAGUUGGUGGGGUAGUGGCCUACCAAGGCAAUGAUGGGUAGCCGGGUUGAGAGACUGAUCGGCCACAAUGGAACUGAGACACGGUCCAUACUCCUAGGGAGGGCAGCAGUG